AACGCACAUUGCGCCCUUUAGUAUUCUGAAGGGCAUGCCUGUUCGAGCGUCAUUAUCACUAAUCAAGCCCGGCUUGCUGUUGGACCUCUUGUCGGUAAAAGACAGGCCCCAAAGAUAAUGACGGCGUCAAUUGGACCCUAGAUGCAACGAGCUUUCACUAGCACGCAUUUUAGUAAAACCUUUUGACCCGGUCUUUUUUAACCAAUUUCUAAGGUUGACCUCGGAUCAGGUAGGAAUACCCGCUGAACUUAA
Molecule: unclassified non-coding RNA, 252 nt
Filed under: uncultured Cladophialophora
Lineage: Eukaryota; Fungi; Ascomycota; Eurotiomycetes; Chaetothyriales; Herpotrichiellaceae
Description: sequence contains ITS2
Source: RNAcentral